UAUUAAAUAUUUAUAGGAUAGAGAUGGGCUCGCGUGACAUUAGCUAGUUGGUAGGGUAACGGCUUACCAAGGCGACGAUGUCUAGGGGCUCUGAGAGGAGAAUCCCCCACACUGGUACUGAGACACGGACCAGAUUCCUACGGGAGGCAGCAGUAAGGAAUAUUGGUCAAUGGGCGGAAGCCUGAACCAGCCAUGCCGCGUGCAGGAUGACUGCCCUAUGGGUUGUAAACUGCUUUUGUCCAGGAAUAAACCUCUUUACGAGUAGAGAGCUGAAUGUACUGGAAGAAUAAGGAUCGGCUAACUCCGUGCCAGCAGCCGCGGUAAUACGGAGGAUCCGAGCGUUAUCCGGAUUUAUUGGGUUUAAAGGGUGCGUAGGCGGCCUAUUAAGUCAGGGGUGAAAUACGGUGGCUCAACCAUCGCAGUGCCUUUGAUACUGAUGGGCUUGAAUCCAUUUGAAGUGGGCGGAAUAAGACAAGUAGCGGUGAAAUGCAUAGAUAUGUCUUAGAACUCCGAUUGCGAAGGCAGCUCACUAAGC
RNAcentral lists this ribosomal RNA (535 nucleotides) under uncultured Bacteroidota bacterium. Its description in RNAcentral is "bacterial SSU rRNA". It matches the Rfam family "Bacterial small subunit ribosomal RNA", at positions 199 to 734 of the family's 1533-position model. The record is from RNAcentral. Lineage: Bacteria; Pseudomonadati; Bacteroidota.